AGUGAACGCUGGCGGCGGGCCUAAUACAUGCAAGUCGAGCGAACAGACGAGGAGCGUGCUCCUCUGACGUUAGCGGCGGACGGGUGAGUAACACGUGGAUAACCUACCUAUAAGACUUGGAUAACUUCGUGAAACCGGAGCUAAUACCGGAUAAUAUAUUGAACCGCAUGGUUCAAUAGUGAAAGACGGUUUUGCUGUCACUUAUAGAUGGAUCCGCGCCGCAUUAGCUAGUUGGUAAGGUAACGGCUUACCAAGGCAACGAUGCGUAGCCGACCUGAGAGGGUGAUCGGCCACACUGGAACUGAGACACGGUCCAGACUCCUACGGGAGGCAGCAGUAGGGAAUCUUCCGCAAUGGGCGCAAGCCUGACGGAGCCACGCCGCGUGAGUGAUGAAGGUCUUCGGAUUGUAAAACUCUGUUAUUAGGGAAGAAAAACUGUGUAAGUAACUCUGCACGUUUUGACGGUACCCAAUCAGAAAGCAACGGCUAACUACGUG
RNAcentral lists this ribosomal RNA (497 nucleotides) under uncultured bacterium. RNAcentral's name for it is "partial 16S ribosomal RNA". It matches the Rfam family "Bacterial small subunit ribosomal RNA", at positions 29 to 507 of the family's 1533-position model. The record is from RNAcentral.